This is a long non-coding RNA of Gasterosteus aculeatus aculeatus (three-spined stickleback), 652 nucleotides long. NCBI's taxonomy places the organism in Eukaryota, Metazoa, Chordata, Actinopteri, Perciformes, Gasterosteidae. The record is from Ensembl.
GUUAUUUUGAAAAGAAUGCUUUUGUGUUUCUUACAUUCUUCAACCUUUUUACACAUGACUCUUUUCUCACACACAAACACAUUUCAACAAUUCGUGCAAAGCCGAUUUCUCAAGCUUUUCUGCCAGGCACCGCUAACUCAAUUGAGGGCUCUCCUCAACACAGGCACAGUUCAUCCAUGAUCCAGCCCCAUCAGUAACUCUUCAUUCAAGAAAUAUCCAGCCGGAAGAGAUUCUCUACAAGCAGUAAGACUGAGGCACUGGAAAAAAAAAGGAAACGCAGACGUCAAGAAUCAUUCUGUUGCUGCUAACAACAAAAUGUGCCAGGCGUUGAAGCAAUCCGGCCGGGAAGCAGCCAGCAGGGUUAAUGAUGAGCAGGGGGACAGAUGGUUUUGGUUGUCAACAGGAAUGAUGGCGCCCAGCCUGGUCUCUGUCAUUGAAGUGAGACAGACGGACAGACGGACAAAUGGGACGGCAGCACUUGUUCUAUGUGGUCGCAGGCUGAUGGUGACAUUUAGCUGGAUUACUUUUUUUGUGAAAAUCAACCUAUUCCUUUUUAUUACUGGUCAACAAGUAAUCGAGUGUAGCUAUUAUAUUAAUAUUUGAAUGGACUGCUGAUGAAUAGAGAAACAUUUCAUGUUUAGGCAAUAUCUUU